UCCUUUUUCAGACUGUAGAACAAUUAGACAAAUUGAUUAAGGGCACAGAAUAGGGGUGAUUACUUUUCCUAGGCCAGAUACUUAAGCUUUACAGGCCAGCUAAUCUAGUGCACGUGUGUCUGUGUAUAUUAAACACUCCUUCAAGUUUUAAAAACUGCUUAGCGGGAGAGCAGUACAAAAAUAGGUUGCAGGCAGGACCCCCUUCCUCAACAGAUCAUCAUCAGUAGCUAAAAAUCUUUCCAGAAAGCUAUGACUUCUCUGGCAAAAUUUUACCAACUAUUUUAAGAAGUGUAAAGAUAGGAAGUUCACUUUUACACAAACUAAAGGCUAGAGUAACAUAAGAAAACCCAACAAGAUAUAUGAGGAAUGGAAAUUUAAAGAAAAUAUGCAGUCUUUAUAAAUGCAAAAGUCCCAGAAAAAUCUUAGCAAAAUGGGACUCAGCAGUUAAUAAAAAGGAUGAUAUUCAGGGGAAGGAAGGUGGUUUUAACAUGAGAAAACCUGUAAAUGUAUUCCAACCUAUUAAUAAAUUAAAGGAGAACAAUUGUUAGUAAGUGCAGAAAAUGCUUUGAUAAAAUCCUAUUGAUUAAAAACGGUUAACAAUGUAGGAAAUAGAAGGGGAGAACUUCCUUAACCUAAAAAAAUAUUUACCAAAAAUCUAUAGUAAAUAUUAGCAGUGAUGCAGUGAAUGCUUUCCCUUUGAGGAAAGGGCUGAGACAAGGAAGAAUGCCUACAGUCAGCCCAUCUUCAGUAAUUUACUGGAAAUCCUAGACAGCAUAGUACAGCAAGAAAAAUAAAAGAUACAAGGAUUGAGAAGAAACAAAGCUCUUAUUUUGUACAUACAAGACUGUACAAACAAAACCACAAGAAGCUACAAACAAAUGUUUAGAAUAAAAGCUAAGCAGAGUUGUUGGAUAAUCAGUAUAAAAAUCAAUUUCAUUUAUACACAAAAAGUAAAAUUUAAGAAAAGAUGCCAGUUACAGUGGUAUCAGAAUAAAUUAAGGCCUUUGAGAAAAAUCUAACAAGAGCUAUGCAAGACUUCUCUGAAGUUUCUAACACUUCCCUGAGAAACAGAAAAGAUGACCUCUCUUAGUGGAGAGAGAACUAUGUCAGUGGCAGGGAGGGCUAAACUGGUGUUAGAUCCAUGGAGCCAAACUGUAACUGCAACCCACAUCUCCAGUCUUUUUUUGUGAAACUUGUUCAAUUGAUUCUGAAGCUUACAGGGGAAUGGAAAGAGACAAGAUCAUUUGAACAACAAGGUGGGAAGGUUUGCCCCUCCAAAUAUCAAGCUAUAAUGAGUGAGCUCUGUGUCAGUGCUAGAGUACUUGUCAAGACCAGAGGAAGAGAGCUGAGGAACAGAUGCAGGGACACACGAAUCCUGACAUAACUCAGGGAUACGUGAAUUCUGACAUAACUCAGAGGAAGCAACUGCAGAGCAGCAGUGGAGGGAUACAGUCCUCAGUAAGGACGGUGGCACAACUGGAUAACCACAUGGGAAAAACAUUUCCCAGAUUACUGCCUUACCAUACACAAAUCAAUUCCAGAUUUAUUAAAAACCUACAUGUGGAAAAACGAAACUCAAAGCCCUUUUAAGUAAUAUAGGAGAGCGUAUCCAUGACCUCAGGGUCGAAAAUAGCUUCUUAAAUAAGCCAUAAAAAGUCUGAUUGUAAAGGAGAGGCUCAUAUGCAACUUCAGUGAAGUUUCUGUUCAUCAAAAGUUACAUGAGGAUAAUAACAAGUCAAGCCACAAACUGGGAAAAGAUUGGCAACAAUCCUUUACACAAUGUCAACUACCCAGAAUACAUAGAGGACCACAGCUGGGGGGAAAAAU
Molecule: long non-coding RNA, 1827 nt
Organism: Mustela erminea (ermine)
Lineage: Eukaryota; Metazoa; Chordata; Mammalia; Carnivora; Mustelidae
Exons: 2
Source: RefSeq, a predicted model, not a curated record